Long non-coding RNA from Piliocolobus tephrosceles (Ugandan red Colobus), 5919 nucleotides. RefSeq lists it as uncharacterized. NCBI's taxonomy places the organism in Eukaryota, Metazoa, Chordata, Mammalia, Primates, Cercopithecidae. The record is from RefSeq and is a predicted model, not a curated record. The transcript is spliced from 4 exons.
GCAGAACUGGUAAGUUGGAAAAUCACUCAGCAGUCAGACAACUGUGGCCUGCCCCGAAAUGAAACAGGUCUUGCUCAUGGAGUGGCUGCAGCAUGCUGACUGCACAGGGGAAUGCCAAGGGCACGAGGCCUUCCUCAGAGAGUCUGAUUGUGUGCAUGAGAUGCCCCUGGGCAGGGACAACAGAAGCCAGAUCCACAGUGAUUAGCUUGGGAUAUAGCUCCAUGAUGGCUGCAGUGGGAUGGAGACCACAGAUGGUCUAUGUGAGAGUGUCAUUUUAAUCAGAAUGGCAGAGCCAUGGAGAACGCUCAGUCCCAUUAUGGAGCUGGACCUGGAACCCAGAAACUCAGAGAAAUUGAAUGAUUUGUAAAUAACAUCCACGUGGAGCCGCUGGAACUGAACUCAGGUGAUCCGCCCACCUUGGCCUGGCUUCUUUUUGCCCUUCUGUCCCUGCUGUCAUGUGAGGACACGGUGUUCCUGCCCUCCGGAGUAUGCAGCAACAAGGUGUGGUCUUGGAGACAGAGACUCGGCCCUCACUGGACACAGAACCUACCGGUGUCUUCAUCUUGGACUUCCAGCCUGCAGAACUGUGAGAAAUACAUUUCUGUUCUUCGGCUCCUAUUGGCCAGAGCCAAGCAAAGGAGGAGAGCAAGAAGCCAUGGGCACUGUCUGCGUCCACGCCACAACCUCGCAGGCAUGGCCAGGUGGAGUGGUGGGCGGCCCAGCCUGCAAGAGAAGCGGGCCCUGCUCAGCCCACCCCUGAGAUCACGCAGCCGGCACUGCCGCACACUGGCGGGACUCCGGGCCCUGCUCUCACCGCGUGAGUCUGAACAAGCCACCUCUUCUCUCUCUGCUUUAAACGCUGCGCCUGUAAAGUGGAGAUAAAACUGCAGCUCCUCCACGGGGCUUCCUUGAGGGCUAAUGAAGUAACACAGCACGGCAGCUAACACGCUGCAAGGGCUCGGCCACUGUGCGCAUCUCAGCCUCCCCCUGGGCUGCAGACCCAGCACCUGGGGCCUCACCUUCCCAGAGACUGGCCCAGGUGGUAAAGCGGCAGCGCGAACUUCCUGGGAGUGAGGGACGAGGGUGAACAAAGGACAUGGGAGGGAACAAGGGCACAUUUCCUACCCCUUAAAUGCAAACAGCUCUUCAAGGUCCCAAGAGCACUUUCAACUGAAUGGCACAUUGAUGCCGGGAGGCCAUUGGAGAAGGUGCCUUGUCUGAAUGGUGUAGACAGAGCUCCUGAGGCUCACAAAGGCUGGGCGAUGUGCCCAAGGCCACAUGGCUUGUUACCUGCGGUGCAGCCGUCAGUCCUGGAUCUGAUUCCAGAUUCUGCGUAUUUGCCAUGCACAUGUGUGUCUGUAUGCAGCCUGAGGAAGCAGGCAUAUCUGCCCAUGCUAGCGCCUGCACUUUGCACACACAUAGCCUAGAUGUGUGUGUCUGUGCUCAGCCUCCCCACAGGUACAGCAACCCUCCGAGGGCAGGCAUUGUGCCUGAUGCACCUUGGUCUCCAGCAGUGUGCAGUCAGGGCUCAGCCCACGUGUGGGCCAGUGCAGCAUUUUCUCCAGAGCCUGCUCCAGGAAGAGGAGGAAAUCUUCUGCUUGACUGUGAGAACUUACACGAAGAGGAGGGACAAGUGUGCUCUUAUCCACAUACUUUUUCUCCCUCCAUGCUGAGGUUUUUCUACCUCCACACGAUAAAAAAUGGCAAAUAAAUUAGCAUAUGAAAAUAUGUAGCAAGGGUGAAAAUGGCCCUGCAGGAGGUCACGGCCGUAGUUACAGCGUUCCAGGUUUCCAGGUGUACCUGCCACUCCAGGCUGAGUGGAAAGAAGGCCUCCCCGGAAGGGCACCGUCUCAGUGUUGGCGAGGCCAAGGCUCCUACAUGACUUUCUUCCCAGAAUCAGUGUGACAGUCCCAUGAAGGAUGCUUCAGUUCUCCAGCAAUCUCCUCUCCUGGGUGUGGGCGCUGUUGGCAAGCAAAUCAAUUGGUCCCACAGCUCUGCCAUCCAAGACACAGAGCUGAGGAGACACCCCCCAGAGAACCCCAGAGACUCACGCCUGGGCACCUGGGCCUGUUCGACGCAGAGCAACAGGCAGGCACUGGGCGUGCUGUCAGCUGAGCAGUGAAAAGGGACAAGCUGCUAUGUCAAAAAUGACACGCCGGCUUCUGCUGGUCUUGCAAAAGAGCUCUGCAGUGAUGUGACUGCAGCUGACAUCCCGCAACAGCAGCGGCUGGUUUCUGUGCUGGAUUGAAAUGCAUCCAGCUCCCUGCGUUCACAGUGAUGACUUCCAAUGCUAAUUCUCAGCGAGCCGGGCAUGAAAUAGAUUCACAGGCGCUGCUUGGUGAAGGCCCUUUGGAGUUAUUUGAGGUACCUGUGAUGAAAACAUCUGUGCCACUCGCUUUUGUGCAUUUUUGUUCCCUUGGUUUCAAUUAUGCAAAGAAUCUUUGGGCAAGAGAAAGAGAGAGGGGGAGAGUUUGCUGAUGUAGUCCUUUUCCUUUUUGAUGAGAGUGAGUGCCUGGUCUGAUGCCUGAACAGGGGAAGCAUAAGAAGGGAGGCAGACUUUCAUCUUCCGCAAAGACACAGGGACGUGCUCUGCCUCAUGCAAAUGAGCUGUUCUAAAAGCGUCCCUGUGUCCUGCUGAGCCGCCUGGGCUCCCUUAGCCCUUCUCUCCGCAGGACAAAUAAAGGGUGAGUUUACUGAGCUCAUGUCUGUGAACAUAAGUAAUUGAGGGGGACGCUGGCAGCAACGAGGGUGGGCGGGUGAUGCCGUGGAGGGAGCCCACCGCCUAGGGCGGCGCGCACAUGUGUGCUGUGCGCUUUCCAGCUCAUGUCUUUCUUUCUGGCACUGCAGCCUCGAAGAGCCUCUUCUCUCCACUGAAGGUCUACCCAUUUGUUCUCUCCUGAAGAAUGUGGCCCAAGUAUGGGGUCUACAAGAGGUUACCAGAGAUUUCAGACUCAGAGAUGGGCCAGGGUCCCCUCGAGGCAGAGACGAGCUUGGAAUCCAGGUCUUCCGAUCUCAUGGGGACUGUGGUUGGGAAAAGUCCCUGGGAGCUGUUUUUUCAAGUGCUGACUGAGUUGGUGGGCCCAUCCCAUCCCAGGGCCCCCGGUGUGGGGUGCGAUGGACACCUUGCCCGUCUGCAGACUGUUCUCGUCUACCCUGAGCUCUCAAAUCUAGUCGCUAAUGGUUUCACAGGAAGCAUCGAUCCCUGGACUGCCUGAGCCGUCUCAGCAAUGGUGGGAGAUGCAGGAAGAGUCUGCUUCCUAUUAUUCUGAAAGCAGGAGCCCCAGGCAGGGGCGGCACAGUCAUGGCUCCUCUGAGUUCUCAGUGUCUGUGUGUGGUCCCUCGACGUAGAGCAAGGGCUCCCAGGAGGCUGGUCACUGAGGACGAGGACAGCACUGCCCACAUUGGGAAGGAGGAGAGGCUGAGCAUUUCACCCAGAUGCUCAGGCACAGUCUCCAAGCCCCAUGCUGCCUCUACACCAUGAGCGCCCCAGUUGAGCACCAUCUCCUGAGCUGGGAUUUGUGUGGGGAUCUGCUCUCUUCUCUGCACAGCUGGGUGGCUCUCUUGUGCCCUCACAUGCCUGCACCAAGACCAGCUCUCCCUCUCUGCCCUCCUCAGUGACCACGAACUCCUUGCCUUCUGGUUUCUGACCUGGUUGAACGAGUGGGCGGCACUGUGAGAUCACAGCCCGGAGGCUGUGUGGGGGGAGUUUGUGCCUCCUGCCCCUGUGCAGAGUUUCCACAAGAGGAUGGGGUCCUUCACCGGUGGCCCCAGCCCCUCAGCCGAGUUCCUGAUAAAGUUCCUUGUCAGUUUGUACAGCUGCUGUAACAGAUUCCCACGUUCUCAGUGGGCACAGAGCCACCUAUGCCGAUGGUCACUGCCGGGAUGGGAGGAGUCCUGGCAGCCAGGCGUCUGUGUCAGCAGGGCCGUGCUCCUUCGGAGCCUCUGGGGGAUUCUUCACCUUUUUCUGAUCUGAGGCACCAGCCACAGUCCUCAGCCCAGGCCCCUUCCUCCCCCUUGACAGCUCGCCAGGAGCAUCUUCAGCCUCUCUCUGGCUUCAGCCUUUGCCCUCUCACUCCUUCUCUGACUCCUACAGGGACCCGAGUGAUUGCCUUGGGUCUCCUGGAUAAUCCAGGAUAAUCUCCUCAAUCCCCAAAUUCUUACUUUAAUCGCAUCUGCGAGUCUCUUUGCCAGUGAGGUGACGUAUGACAGGUCCCUGGGCAGGUCAUGGACACCAUUGGCGUCGAUGGUUCUGUCCGCCCAGGCUCCCUCCCUCCAGGGUUGCCACUGGUGGGUGCCUCACUGCUCUGUGGCUUCCUGCUCUCUGCUGAGCCUUCAGAGAGACAGAGAGACACUCGUCGUUAAACCCCUCUCCAGCGACGUGUUUCUGCUGCCUCCUCUGCACGGCCCAUCUGGGCUGCCCACAUUGGCGUCUCCUUCUCUGAGCUCAGGUCAACAGCCCUAAGCUGCCUGCACCCCUUCUCCUUUUUCCCAUCCAACAAGACUGCUGUUGAAGAGUGGGAGGGUGAUACGGAUAUCGCUGCUGGCGGAUGGACCCGGCAGGGAAGGAGAAUGUCCCCUCAGCUCUCUGCUGCCCGCAGGCCGUGCAACUCUGACCUGCACAUGUGCUCUCUGGGCUGCAAACCAUCGCCCACUCAGACCAGUGUCCUUCAGCAGCUCCGGAGGCUGGGGACAGCAGGCCCUCGGCUGGCCCACCUUGUAUCCCCUGUGCCCUGCACUGAGCCGGUACUGAGGUCGACACCUACUGGUGAGGCUCACACCAGGCAUUCCCUGAGCCUCCUUUUUUUGUGGCGCUCAUUGCAUUUUGGUGAAAUUAUUUAUUUAGCCAUUGCUGCAUUUUCUGUUAUGGUAUCCGUGUACCAAGUUCUCUCUCCUUAGACCAGGAGGCAUGUGCAACAGGCCUGGGAGGUGCCCCCAGUGGCUGCCGAGGAGGCCGGGGGAGGACACAAAGGCGGCCGCGUUGACCCCCAAGGUUGUGAAAGCACCAUUCCUCCUGGGUGUUUCUCCACAUGGGCUUCUUCCCUCCUCCUCUGCCCUCAGGGCCUGUUCUGCUGCCACUGCCCUCUGAUUACGGAGAAAUGGGGCACCCAGCUAAGAAACCAGCAGCUCACAACCAGUGAGGACAAGCUUUGUACUUGAAAAGAAAAAGAAAGAAAGAGGGAAAUUUUCAACAUAAAGACCUGGACUGUAAAUGGAAGAAUUUCAGGCCCAAAGCAAAUAAAAUCUGGAAGUAACAGGCCGCUCCCCACCCUCGGGCUCUGUCUGACUCCACGGUCAGAACUCCCUGCAUCCGCCUCCUCCCUCCAGGCUUCAGCGGGCUCAGGUGGAGCGUGAGGCUGGAGUGCACGGUGUGGGUUCCAGCAGUCCAGAUCCCUCCCACCCCACCACUUCUCACAAGGAUGCAAAGACCCCAACAAGUCUGAGACCCCUGUUUCCACCUGGCUGGAGGGGUCUGGCAGGGUCAUGGGAAAAGCCCAGCCUUGCUAGAAUCUGCUGGUCGUGGAUGAACAGUCACCCCAGCACUUCACUUGCCUUCUCUGUCCUCCAGUUUCCUCAUCUGUAACGUGGUUACUCAUACCCAACUGGCAAGGUUUUCAUGGGAAGGAUGCUCAGGACAGCGCCCAGCAUGCAUUCCUUACUGAACAAUGUGGAUUGCUUCCUUUUCACUAGUGUCUCGCUUCAGUCUUAUUCCUAGGACAGAGUUAUCCACAAAGAAGAAGUACGAUCCUAGGGAGGGAAGGAGGAAUGAGGGGAGGAGUGAACGGCAACCUGUGUGGCCAAGACAUCACUCAGGAAUGUCCUUGACAAUGCCGGGCGCGGUGACUCACGCCUGUAAUCUCACUUCGGGAGGCCGAGGUGGGCGGAUCAUGAGGUCAGGAGAUCGAGACCAUCCAGGCUAAC